RNAcentral lists this ribosomal RNA (497 nucleotides) under uncultured bacterium. Its description in RNAcentral is "partial 16S ribosomal RNA". It matches the Rfam family "Bacterial small subunit ribosomal RNA", at positions 28 to 507 of the family's 1533-position model. The record is from RNAcentral.
GAUGAACGCUGGCGGCGUGCCUAAUACAUGCAAGUCGAGCGAACAGACGAGGAGCUUGCUCCUCUGACGUUAGCGGCGGACGGGUGAGUAACACGUGGAUAACCUACCUAUAAGACUGGGAUAACUUCGGGAAACCGGAGCUAAUACCGGAUAAUAUAUUGAACCGCAUGGUUCAAUAGUGAAAGACGGUUUUGCUGUCACUUAUAGAUGGAUCCGCGCCGCAUUAGCUAGUUGGUAAGGUAACGGCUUACCAAGGCAACGAUGCGUAGCCGACCUGAGAGGGUGAUCGGCCACACUGGAACUUAGACACGGUCCAGACUCCUACGGGAGGCAGCAGUAGGGAAUCUUCCGCAGUGGGCGAAAGCCUGACGGAGCAACGCCGCGUGAGUGAUGAAGGUCUUCGGAUCGUAAAACUCUGUUAUUAGGGAAGAACAAAUGUGUAAGUAACUAUGCACGUCUUGACGGUACCUAAUCAGAAAGCCACGGCUAACUACGUG